CCUACGGGAGGCAGCAGUGGGGAAUAUUGGACAAUGGGGGGAACCCUGAUCCAGCGACGCCGCGUGAGUGAAGAAGUAUUUCGGUAUGUAAAGCCCUAUCAGCAGGGAAGAAAAUGACGGUAUCUGACUAAGAAGCCCCGGCUAACUACGUGCCAGCAGCCGCGGUAAUACGGAGGGGGCAAGCGUUAUCCGGAUUUACUGGGUGUAAAGGGAGCGUAGACGGUGCAGCAAGUCUGAUGUGAAAGGUUAGGGCCCAACCCCGGGACUGCAUUGGAAACUGUUGUACUAGAGUACAGGAGAGGUAAGCGGAAGUCCUAGUGGAGCGGUGAAAUGCGUAGAGAUUAAGAGGAAGACCAGUGGCGAAGGCGGCUUACUAGACUAUAACUGACGUUGAGGCUCGAAAGCGUGGGGAGCAAACAGGAUUAGAUACCCUAGUAGUC
RNAcentral lists this ribosomal RNA (440 nucleotides) under uncultured bacterium. RNAcentral describes it as "partial 16S ribosomal RNA". It matches the Rfam family "Bacterial small subunit ribosomal RNA", at positions 338 to 795 of the family's 1533-position model. The record is from RNAcentral.